RNAcentral lists this long non-coding RNA (693 nucleotides) under Homo sapiens (human). RNAcentral describes it as "HSALNT0353710". Lineage: Eukaryota; Metazoa; Chordata; Mammalia; Primates; Hominidae. The record is from RNAcentral.
GUUUCACCAUGUUGGCCAGGAUGGUCUUCAUCUUCUGACUUCGUGAUCUACCAGCCUCGGCCUCCCAAAGUGCUGGGAUUACAGGCACCAUGCUGAAGAGCUGCCCUGUGUUCUUAAGCAUAGAGAAGCUGUGAUGUGCCUAGGGGAGAAAAUGUGUAUUAGAGAAGCUUCCAUCACAUGUGAGUUAUGGUGCUGUUGACUGAGGUUCCCUGUUAACGAAUCAACUGCCCAUCCAGAAAGAGGAGAGGAAGUGUGCCGAUCUGUACAUGGAGCUGAUUGGAAAGUGUGUUGUGUUUUGCUGGGACACAAUGGUUUGGGAUUCGCUAAUUCAGUGUUCGAAGAGACUACAAAGCAUGACUCCCCCAGAUCCAAGAAUCGACUGUAUAAGCCGUAGAUCUAGCUCCUGGAUUGUGUGGCAUUCUUAGAAAGCCCUCCCGCUUGGAUCCUCUAGGAAAUGACUUUGUCUCAUCAUCUUCUUCUUCGUCUCCUAAUCCUGGGCUCCGUGCCCCUCGUCUGGGCAGCUUCCCGGCUAUCCCGGGUGGAUGAUGCCUCCCACAUGGUCUGUCACAUGCUACAGUCAUUUUCCAAGGCGAGCACUGGGCCAUGUGCACAGCAGGCCGUUUGCUAGCGGCCUCACGUCUUCCCCGGGCACACCUUCAGUCUGAAUGAGCCAGGCACUUCCAGGGACAGGCA